RNAcentral lists this ribosomal RNA (491 nucleotides) under uncultured bacterium. RNAcentral describes it as "partial 16S ribosomal RNA". It matches the Rfam family "Bacterial small subunit ribosomal RNA", at positions 29 to 506 of the family's 1533-position model. The record is from RNAcentral.
AGUGAACGCUGGCGGUAGGCCUAACACAUGCAAGUCGAACGGCAGCACAGUAAGAGCUUGCUCUUACGGGUGGCGAGUGGCGGACGGGUGAGGAAUACAUCGGAAUCUACUUUUUCGUGGGGGAUAACGUAGGGAAACUUACGCUAAUACCGCAUACGACCUACGGGUGAAAGCAGGGGAUCUUCGGACCUUGCGCGAUUGAAUGAGCCGAUGUCGGAUUAGCUAGUUGGCGGGGUAAAGGCCCACCAAGGCGACGAUCCGUAGCUGGUCUGAGAGGAUGAUCAGCCACACUGGAACUGAGACACGGUCCAGACUCCUACGGGAGGCAGCAGUGGGGAAUAUUGGACAAUGGGCGCAAGCCUGAUCCAGCCAUACCGCGUGGGUGAAGAAGGCCUUCGGGUUGUAAAGCCCUUUUGUUGGGAAAGAAAAGCAGGAGGUUAAUACCCCGCUGUUCUGACGGUACCCAAAGAGUAAGCACCGGCUAACUUCGU